CGGACGGGUGAGUAACACGUGGAUAACCUACCUAUAAGACUGGGAUAACUUCGGGAAACCGGAGCUAAUACCGGAUAAUAUAUUGAACCGCAUGGUUCAAUAGUGAAAGACGGUUUUGCUGUCACUUAUAGAUGGAUCCGCGCCGCAUUAGCUAGUUGGUAAGGUAACGGCUUACCAAGGCAAAGAUGCGUAGCCGACCUGAGAGGGUGAUCGGCCACACUGGAACUGAGACACGGUCCAGACUCCUACGGGAGGCAGCAGCG
This 263-nucleotide ribosomal RNA is filed under the name uncultured Staphylococcus sp. RNAcentral describes it as "partial 16S ribosomal RNA". It matches the Rfam family "Bacterial small subunit ribosomal RNA", at positions 99 to 356 of the family's 1533-position model. Lineage: Bacteria; Bacillati; Bacillota; Bacilli; Caryophanales; Staphylococcaceae. The record is from RNAcentral.